This 273-nucleotide ribosomal RNA is filed under the name marine snow associated bacterium Adriatic33. RNAcentral describes it as "partial 16S ribosomal RNA". It matches the Rfam family "Bacterial small subunit ribosomal RNA", at positions 213 to 480 of the family's 1533-position model. The record is from RNAcentral.
AUUCGCGAUAGGAUGGGCCCGCGCUACAUUAGCUUGAUGGUGGGGUAAUGGCCUACCAUGGCUACGAUGUAUAGCUGGUCUGAGAGGAUGAUCAGCCACACUGGAACUGAGACACGGUCCAGACUCUACGGGAGGCAGCAGUGGGGAAUAUUGCGCAAUGGAGGAAACUCUGAGCAGCAACGCCGCGUGAGUGAGGAAGGCUUUCGGGUCGUAAAGCUCUGUCAAAUGGGAAGAACCGUAGUUGGUCUAAUAGCCUUCUGCCUGACGGUACCA